Molecule: small nucleolar RNA, 107 nt
Organism: Lactuca sativa (garden lettuce)
Lineage: Eukaryota; Viridiplantae; Streptophyta; Magnoliopsida; Asterales; Asteraceae
Source: RefSeq, a predicted model, not a curated record
AAGUCAUUUUGGGGGCAAUUCCUUAUCAACCCCUUGUAGUGUUCUCAUGCUUCAUAAAGUGACUCCCCCAGUUUUUGCUCGAAAUUUGCUAUAGCUUUCUUGAAUUU